This 206-nucleotide ribosomal RNA is filed under the name uncultured bacterium. Its description in RNAcentral is "partial 16S ribosomal RNA". It matches the Rfam family "Bacterial small subunit ribosomal RNA", at positions 524 to 728 of the family's 1533-position model. The record is from RNAcentral.
UACGGAGGGUGCGAGCGUUGUCCGGAAUCAUUGGGCGUAAAGGGCGCGUAGGUGGCCCGGUCAGUUCGUGGUGAAAGCGCGGGGCUCAACCCUGCGUCGGCCAUGAAUACUGCCGCGGCUGGAGCACUGUAGAGGCAGGCGGAAUUCCGGGUGUAGCGGUGGAAUGCGUAGAGAUCCGGAAGAACACCGGUGGCGAAGGCGGCCUG